CUACGGGCGGCAGCAGUGGGGAAUAUUGGACAAUGGGGGAAACCCUGAUCCAGCAAUGCCGCGUGUGUGAAGAAGGCCUGCGGGUUGUAAAGCACUUUCGGUUGGGAGGACUGCUUCUAGCACUAAUAUUGUUGGAAGUUGACGUUACCUUCAGAAGAAGCACCGGCUAACUCCGUGCCAGCAGCCGCGGUAAUACGGAGGGUGCAGGCGUUAGUCGGAAUUACUGGGCGUAAAGCGCGCGUAGGCGGCUAGAUCAGUCGGGUGUGAAAGCCCCGGGCUUAACCUGGGAACUGCAUCCGAUACUGUCUGGCUUGAGUACAGGAGAGGAGAGUGGAAUUCCACAUGUAGCGGUGAAAUGCGUAGAUAUGUGGAGGAACACCAAUGGCGAAGGCAGCUCUCUGGCCUGAUACUGACGCUGAGGUGCAAAAGCGUGGGGAGCAAACAGGAUUAGAUACCCGAGUAGUC
RNAcentral lists this ribosomal RNA (465 nucleotides) under uncultured bacterium. Its description in RNAcentral is "partial 16S ribosomal RNA". It matches the Rfam family "Bacterial small subunit ribosomal RNA", at positions 339 to 795 of the family's 1533-position model. The record is from RNAcentral.